This 694-nucleotide unclassified non-coding RNA is filed under the name Hevea brasiliensis (rubber tree). The record is from RNAcentral. Lineage: Eukaryota; Viridiplantae; Streptophyta; Magnoliopsida; Malpighiales; Euphorbiaceae.
GCAGGAAUGAAGUCACCGAUAUUGAAAACUCCGGCCAACACCAUCAACUCCACCACCAUUGAUUUGAAUUCGUCUGCCUUUGGAUCACCACCGCUGCUACCGUCGUUAAACACUCUUCUGCCUAUCAUCACGCGCCCAAGGGCAUUGGUGGUGCACACGUUCAGCAAUUGUCCUAGGUUAACUUGCGUUUGGCCCGCACUUGCUAGUACGCGUGUAAGCACUGCUACUUCUUGCUGUCUAAUGUGUCUAAAAUCAUCCAACGCCUUGCCGGAGAAGAGGUGGACGGAGCUGAUCUUCCUAAGCAGGCGCCACCGCGGACCAUAUGGUGCAAACACAAGGUCUUGGUAAUUAUAAGCAACAUAUUUUGCACCGGAAUUCGGCGGCCGGUUUGAGAAGUUCGCGUCAUGAACCUUCAAGAAUUGGGCUGCGACGGAGGCAGAAGCCGCCACCACAACAUCCACGAAGCCCAUUCGAAGGUGCAUGAGAGGCCCAUAGAUUCGAGCCAAGUCAGCUAAGGAGUGGUGGGGUUUAGGGCCCAAAUGAGGCAAGUUUCCAAGGAGAGGCCAUGGCUUUGGGCCUGGUGGAAGAGGACGGGAGGCACGGUGGAGGAAGAGUUGGCGAAGGUGGAGCAGAAAGUAAAGGAAGGUGGCGAAAGCUAUAGAGUAGAAGAUGAGAGUAGACAUGUUAAAGUGAG